Molecule: small RNA, 142 nt
Filed under: Marmota monax (woodchuck)
Lineage: Eukaryota; Metazoa; Chordata; Mammalia; Rodentia; Sciuridae
Source: RNAcentral
GAGAGAGAGAGAGAGAGAGAGAGAGAGAGAGAGAGUUAUAACCCACAAAAAAACAAAACAGAAGACGACUUUUUCUUCUUUCUCUCUUCUCUCUUCUUCUUCUUCUUCUUCUUCUUCUUUUCUCUCUCUCUCUCUCUCUCUC